RNAcentral lists this ribosomal RNA (436 nucleotides) under uncultured bacterium. RNAcentral's name for it is "partial 16S ribosomal RNA". It matches the Rfam family "Bacterial small subunit ribosomal RNA", at positions 341 to 792 of the family's 1533-position model. The record is from RNAcentral.
ACGGGAGGCAGCAGUGGGGAAUAUUGGGCAAUGGGGGAAACCCUGACCCAGCAACGCCGCGUGAAGGAAGAAGGUCUUCGGAUCGUAAGCUUCUGUCCUUAGGGAAGAGAAAGAGACGGUACCUGAGGAGGAAGCCCCGGCUAACUACGUGCCAGCAGCCGCGGUAAUACGUAGGGGGCAAGCGUUGUCCGGAAUGAUUGGGCGUAAAGGGCGCGUAGGCGGCUCGGUAAGUCUGGAGUGAAAGUCCUGCCUUCAAGGUGGGAAUUGCUUUGGAUACUGUCGAGCUUGAGUGCAGGAGAGGUUAGUGGAAUUCCCAGUGUAGCGGUGAAAUGCGUAGAGAUUGGGAGGAACACCAGUGGCGAAGGCGACUAACUGGACUGUAACUGACGCUGAGGCGCGAAAGUGUGGGGAGCAAACAGGAUUAGAUACCCUGGUA